GACGAACGCUGGCGGCGUGCCUAAUACAUGCAAGUUGAGCGAUGAAGAUUGGUGCUUGCACCAAUUUGAAGAGCAGCGAACGGGUGAGUAACGCGUGGGGAAUCUGCCUUUGAGCGGGGGACAACAUUUGGAAACGAAUGCUAAUACCGCAUAACAACUUUAAACAUAAGUUUUAAGUUUGAAAGAUGCCAUUGCAUCACUCAAAGAUGAUCCCGCGUUGUAUUAGCUAGUUGGUGAGGUAAAGGCUCACCAAGGCGAUGAUACAUAGCCGACCUGAGAGGGUGAUCGGCCACAUUGGGACUGAGACACGGCCCAAACUCCUACGGGAGGCAGCAGUAGGGAAUCUUCGGCAAUGGACGAAAGUCUGACCGAGCAACGCCGCGGGAGGGAAGAAGGUUUUCGGGUCGUAAAACUCGGUUGGUAGAGAAGAACGUUGGUGAGAGUGGAAAGCACAUCAAGUGACGGUAACUACCCAGAAAGGGACGGCUAACUACGUG
RNAcentral lists this ribosomal RNA (497 nucleotides) under uncultured bacterium. RNAcentral's name for it is "partial 16S ribosomal RNA". It matches the Rfam family "Bacterial small subunit ribosomal RNA", at positions 28 to 507 of the family's 1533-position model. The record is from RNAcentral.